This 440-nucleotide ribosomal RNA is filed under the name uncultured bacterium. RNAcentral's name for it is "partial 16S ribosomal RNA". It matches the Rfam family "Bacterial small subunit ribosomal RNA", at positions 338 to 795 of the family's 1533-position model. The record is from RNAcentral.
CCUACGGGAGGCAGCAGUGGGGAAUAUUGCACAAUGGGGGAAACCCUGAUGCAGCGACGCCGCGUGAGCGAUGAAGUAUUUCGGUAUGUAAAGCUCUAUCAGCAGGGAAGAAAAUGACGGUACCUGACUAAGAAGCCCCGGCUAACUACGUGCCAGCAGCCGCGGUAAUACGUAGGGGGCAAGCGUUAUCCGGAUUUACUGGGUGUAAAGGGAGCGUAGACGGCUGUGCAAGCCAGAUGUGAAAGCCCGGGGCUCAACCCCGGGACUGCAUUUGGAACUGUGUGGCUGGAGUGUCGGAGAGGCAGGCGGAAGUCCUGGUGUAGCGGUGAAAUGCGUAGAUAUUAGGAGGAACACCAGUGGCGAAGGCGGCCUGCUGUACGAUGACUGACGUUGAGGCUCGAAAGCGUGGGGAGCAAACAGGAUUAGAUACCCGUGUAGUC